GUUGAAUCAAAACAAUUAUGCUUUCGUUCUCCCUUCUUCAAUGGCCCUAUCUUCACACCUAAACACUAUUGCUCCGGUAUCCUGCCAUUUUGGAUCAGGGCGGUUGACGGUGGAUUCACUUCCCAUCAACCCUUGAGGCUCCAGGGACCAGCCCUUUGCUAGGUGCGCUUUGCUUCCUAACCCGUUGCCGGGUUGGAGAUUCCACCUCCGAAGUUUUCUUUCUGACUUUUGAUUUUACAUUCCUAGUACAGUGGAGAAGCCCAGGCGGCCUAGAAUCCAGUGUCGUCCGUGAGUGCUUGGCUGGUGGUCAAGUGCAUCUUCCAGCCUGAGACCGCGUGGACUCGCUCAUCGUGAGGGCGAGAGGAGGAUAAGCCCAUUGGGCUGUCGGCUGAGAGUGAGACCAUCCACAAUAUUGUUUGAACAUCUGAAGACAUGGGGGACUUGCCAUCUGAUAUCUGAUAACAGACUUCCUGUAAAGCAGGACUGGUAGUUUCCUGAUAACAAAUUCUUCAAUAUGAAGAUAUGGAUAAAGCAUUUGGCUGCCAAUAAUGAACUGCACCAAAGUCACCAAUUCAAACCAUGCCCUGGUAAAUAGUAUCAUCAGUGAUGAUGAUGAUGAUGAUGAUGAUGAUGAUGAUGAUGAUAAUGUCACAUGUUAAAAAUGUCAUAUAGAUUUUAGCAUCUUGAGGACCUGAUACUCUGUAACAGUGGUCCCUAACCUUUUUGGCACCAGGGACCACUUUCAUGGAAGACAGUUUUUCCGUGGACCAGGAGAG
This 776-nucleotide long non-coding RNA is filed under the name Pan troglodytes (chimpanzee). RNAcentral's name for it is "long non-coding RNA NONPTRT011548". Lineage: Eukaryota; Metazoa; Chordata; Mammalia; Primates; Hominidae. The record is from RNAcentral.